Long non-coding RNA from Octopus sinensis (East Asian common octopus), 167 nucleotides. RefSeq lists it as uncharacterized. The record is from RefSeq and is a predicted model, not a curated record. The transcript is spliced from 2 exons. NCBI's taxonomy places the organism in Eukaryota, Metazoa, Mollusca, Cephalopoda, Octopoda, Octopodidae.
AGGUAGAAACUCUAUAAGAUGCACCAAGUGUAAGCUAUGGACACAUAAGAGGUGCAGCAAUAUCAAAGGAAGGCUAACUGGUAAGAUAGUUUUUGUUUGUGGUAAAUGCUCAGGGGUAAUAAACACUGAAAAUGUGCAGAGAACAGAUUCCAUAAUAUGCCAGGGGG